GAAACAGGUUAAUAUUCCUGUACUUGGUGUUACUGCGAAGGGGGGACGGAGAAGGCUAUGUUGGCCGGGCGACGGUUGUCCCGGUUUAAGCGUGUAGGCUGGUUUUCCAGGCAAAUCCGGAAAAUCAAGGCUGAGGCGUGAUGACGAGGCACUGCGGUGCUGAAGCAACAAAUGCCCUGCUUCCAGGAAAAGCCUCUAAGCAUCAGGUAACAUCAAAUCGUACCCCAAACCGACACAGGUGGUCAGGUAGAGAAUACCAAGGCGCUUGAGAGAACUCGGGUGAAGGAACUAGGCAAAAUGGUGCCGUAACUUCGGGAGAAGGCACGCUGAUAUGUAGGUGAAGUCCCUCGCGGAUGGAGCUGAAAUCAGUCGAAGAUACCAGCUGGCUGCAACUGUUUAUUAAAAACACAGCACUGUGCAAACACGAAAGUGGACGUAUACGGUGUGACGCCUGCCCGGUGCCGGAAGGUUAAUUGAUGGGGUUAGCGCAAGCGAAGCUCUUGAUCGAAGCCCCGGUAAACGGCGGCCGUAACUAUAACGGUCCUAAGGUAGCGAAAUUCCUUGUCGGGUAAGUUCCGACCUGCACGAAUGGCGUAAUGAUGGCCAGGCUGUCUCCACCCGAGACUCAGUGAAAUUGAACUCGCUGUGAAGAUGCAGUGUACCCGCGGCAAGACGGAAAGACCCCGUGAACCUUUACUAUAGCUUGACACUGAACAUUGAGCCUUGAUGUGUAGGAUAGGUGGGAGGCUUUGAAGUGUGGACGCCAGUCUGCAUGGAGCCGACCUUGAAAUACCACCCUUUAAUGUUUGAUGUUCUAACGUUGACCCGUAAUCCGGGUUGCGGACAGUGUCUGGUGGGUAGUUUGACUGGGGCGGUCUCCUCCUAAAGAGUAACGGAGGAGCACGAAGGUUGGCUAAUCCUGGUCGGACAUCAGGAGGUUAGUGCAAUGGCAUAAGCCAGCUUGACUGCGAGCGUGACGGCGCGAGCAGGUGCGAAAGCAGGUCAUAGUGAUCCGGUGGUUCUGAAUGGAAGGGCCAUCGCUCAACGGAUAAAAGGUACUCCGGGGAUAACAGGCUGAUACCGCCCAAGAGUUCAUAUCGACGGCGGUGUUUGGCACCUCGAUGUCGGCUCAUCACAUCCUGGGGCUGAAGUAGGUCCCAAGGGUAUGGCUGUUCGCCAUUUAAAGUGGUACGCGAGCUGGGUUUAGAACGUCGUGAGACAGUUCGGUCCCUAUCUGCCGUGGGCGCUGGAGAACUGAGGGGGGCUGCUCCUAGUACGAGAGGACCGGAGUGGACGCAUCACUGGUGUUCGGGUUGUCAUGCCAAUGGCACUGCCCGGUAGCUAAAUGCGGAAGAGAUAAGUGCUGAAAGCAUCUAAGCACGAAACUUGCCCCGAGAUGAGUUCUCCCUGACUCCUUGAGAGUCCUGAAGGAACGUUGAAGACGACGACGUUGAUAGGCCG
RNAcentral lists this ribosomal RNA (1461 nucleotides) under Escherichia coli O26:H11. Its description in RNAcentral is "bacterial LSU rRNA". It matches the Rfam family "Bacterial large subunit ribosomal RNA", at positions 1422 to 2863 of the family's 2925-position model. The record is from RNAcentral. Lineage: Bacteria; Pseudomonadati; Pseudomonadota; Gammaproteobacteria; Enterobacterales; Enterobacteriaceae.